RNAcentral lists this ribosomal RNA (569 nucleotides) under uncultured bacterium. Its description in RNAcentral is "partial 16S ribosomal RNA". It matches the Rfam family "Bacterial small subunit ribosomal RNA", at positions 355 to 1375 of the family's 1533-position model. The record is from RNAcentral.
UGGGGAAUAUUGCACAAUGGGCGAAAGCCUGAUGCAGCGACGCCGCGUGAGGGAUGACGGCCUUCGGGUUGUAAACCUCUUUCAGCAGGGAAGAAGCGAAAGUGACGGUACCUGCAGAAGAAGCGCCGGCUAACUACGUGCCAGCAGCCGCGGUAAUACGUGAGGGCGCAAGCGUUGUCCGGAAUUAUUGGGCGUAAAGAGCUCGUAGGCGGUUAGUCGCGUCUGCUGUGAAAACUCGAGGCUCAACCUCGGGCUUGCAGUGGGUACGGGCUGACUAGAGUGCGGUAGGGGUGACUGGAAUUCCUGGUGUAGCGGUGGAAUGCGCAGAUAUCAGGAGGAACACCGAUGGCGAAGGCAGGUCACUGGGCCGCAACUGACGCUGAGGAGCGAAAGCAUGGGGAGCGAACAGGAUUAGAUACCCUGGUAGUCCAUGCCGUAAACGUUGGGCACUAGGUGUGGGGUCCAUUCCACGGAUUCCGUGCCGCGGCAAACGCAUUAAGUGCCCCGCCUGGGGAGUACGGCCGCAAGGCUAAAACUCAAAGGAAUUGACGGGGUCAUAGCUGUUUCCU